Zonotrichia albicollis (white-throated sparrow) is the source of this 2091-nucleotide non-coding RNA. The record is from RefSeq and is a predicted model, not a curated record. Lineage: Eukaryota; Metazoa; Chordata; Aves; Passeriformes; Passerellidae.
CCAGGGCGGCCCGGCAGGACCCGCCCCGGGGCGGGGGAAGCGUUCGUCACUUCCGCGGGAGAAGCCGUAGGGGCGGCGGAGCGGGAGCAGUUCUACAGUUUCUGUAAGCAUGGAAAGUAUUUCCACGAGCUUCCAUACCUAAGUAUCUUUCCACAUCAUGCAGAAGCUGAUACAUGCUGUGUGUUCUACUCCCAUUCAGAAAAAGGAAAACAUCUCUCUCUCAUGGAUUACUUUAAAUGCUUCCUGAGUAGCUUUAACAUUUGCCAUUGACAAGCAGCAAAGAAAAAUCCUCAGUUCAAGUAAAAACCAGGGUAAGUCUAUACCACAAACUCUAACAUAGUGUUGAAACACCCCAGCUGGUUUUAAAUGAGAUUUUAGGAAUCACUUAGCAAAAGCAAGACAGAUCUUUAUUCAAGCUAAUUUAACCAGGAGAUUCCUAUCUACCAAAGAGACUAAAUACAGCACUGUGCUGCCCCAGAUUGUUUGGGUUGCUUUAUGCUUGAGCUAACCCUGUUUAAAAUUAUCCACAGUUAUGAACACUACAGGCUGCAGAGGAGUUCAGUAGUGUCAUUAUGAAGCCUGUUGUCCUUGCUUGACAGAAUUUAGGAAUCAAACCCCAUAAUUUGAGCAUAUGGUGGUAAAAGGCCUAUUAUUGUGGAAAGAAGAAUUUAAAAAAAUAAUACUACUUCAAAUCUUCAGUAGUGAGUCUUUUCAUAACUUUCCAACCCCUUUAGCCUCUAGAUAAGUGAAGUGUCUCAUGUUGGUUGGAGACCAUUAAUUCUAUUGAAUUACAUUAAUGACUCAAAUUUGGAGUUUGUACAUCCAGAGAACAACAGCAUGAUUUGACCUAUUUCUGUUGGUUUAAAGAAUUCAAUGUCCACAUAUUACAUAACGUGUUACUAAUAAUAAACUACUAUACUCAGUUAGUAGGACAGCAGAUUUUACUGUGAGAUAGUAGCCAACAGGAAAAAGAAAAAAGGCAUUUGUUUUGAAAAUAUUAAAAUGAAUAUACCUUAAAUUAAAUUUGGGGAUUUGGCUUUUUUAAUUAUGUGACAGUUACUGACACAUGUAUUGUCAUUUUUCUUUCAAUGGAAAGCAUAACUAACUUCAAAUUAAUGCAGUGUCACUUAUCCUGGAACUUUGAAUGCUAUUAACUUACCUCCCACAGCAUGUAGGAUAGCUUCAGGUGCACAUGUAUCCCACUUCUUGCACCCAGGACUGGCAAAUACAUAAGCAGAUGCUUUGCCUUCUAUGAGUUGAAUGAUCUGUUAUGAAAAGAGUUGCAAUCAUUGCAAAGGAUUUAGGAAUUUAGAAAUGGGUAGAAAUAGCACCAGGAAGUGAGGAUUAAAUCUGUUUAUUUAAGUACUGAUAGUCAGGAAAGGAACACCAGCCAUUUCCUUAUUAAUAUUACAAUAAAUGCAUUAAAAUUUAGAAGCUAAACUGUAUCACCAUUCCCAGUUCAGUAUUUUUGAUUGUUAUAUAUACAGUCUAUGGGAUGAAAAUCUGCUCUCAGUUUCAGAAACAAGAAUUCGCUUCUUGUGCAUGUACUAAAAAAAAUAAAGUGGAAAAUAUAUAUAUGUUGUGUUAGUGCCUCUUUGGGCCUUGCACAUGUUGGAGAAAAGAGAUGAGAGGGUGUGUUUUUGACAGCUAUGACAGAACAGCUUUAAAACCUGUACCAAAUGAGUGUUCCCUGUAUCCAGAGAAAUUUCACAAAGGAAAUAUCACUGUAUGCUUAUAUUUUUAUCCUUUCAAAUGUGCUGCUAGGUAGUUGGAACAAAAGCUGUAUUAACACAAACAGGAGGACAUGUCCAAUAACUGAGAUUAAACUGAAUUCCCAUUUAGUCAUUCUGGUCUUACAACUUUGUAUUUUCACCCCUAAAAACAGAAUACUGGGGAAGACAGACCUCAGCCAUGAACAGCGUGGGCACUGGUACAAAUACACCUGUGCCUAAUUCUCUCAACCUCACAGCAGACUGACUGCUAGGAAGAGAAGUUGUGUGGGGUGCCACUUCCCAGUAAAACCAGAAGAUUGGGAGUUUUCAUACCUUGUUUCCUGCUCCUCCAACUCUGAUGACAUGGUCUGGGUUCAAG